Molecule: long non-coding RNA, 465 nt
Organism: Patiria miniata (bat star)
Lineage: Eukaryota; Metazoa; Echinodermata; Asteroidea; Valvatida; Asterinidae
Exons: 3
Source: RefSeq, a predicted model, not a curated record
CACAGAGUACGGCACAAACAAAAGCAAGGCCUACGUGCCUACAUGAGGCGGACAGAACAACAACACUGAUUCUAGUUUUAGAACUUUGAGUGGAACAUUCACUUAAAGAACAUUAGUAAAAGUACAUCAGAAUAUUCGUCUAUUCUGGCCAAUUGCGUUUGUUUUUGUCUUCUUUUGUUCAGUCUUCUAAACGAAUUAACCCGAGGUGUUCUUCUGAACGGAUUCACUUGAAAUUUCCUUUAAAGGACACACUGGCAGCUAGAUUCAGCAUGAGGGCAUUCUUCAGUGACCUAGUUCUGUUUCUAAUUAUUCUACCUUCCCCAUGUAUGGCAGGUUUUUGCUUCCACCAAGUAAUUCUGCCUCGAACGAUCGAAGUGGAUUUUCAGACUCGACAGAUACCAUCUGAAGACGGUGGCAGCCAAUGGGAACUCGUGGCAAACGUCACGUGGCAGAGGCGUCAAGACA